RNAcentral lists this long non-coding RNA (501 nucleotides) under Dromaius novaehollandiae (emu). Its description in RNAcentral is "lncRNA (ENSDNVG00000004776.1)". The record is from RNAcentral. Lineage: Eukaryota; Metazoa; Chordata; Aves; Casuariiformes; Dromaiidae.
AAUGACGUUCCUCUUCUGAGCCUGACUGUGAGAGAGUUCAUUCCUUCACAUUCCUGUAUAUAAAUCAGUGCAAACUUGGAUCACACUCUGCACAGGGAUCCACCAUUGCAGAGCCUUGUGCUGGAGGUAGCACUGCUGAUCUGCUGGUCAUGUGAAUUGACCUUGAGAUGCAGCACCAGAAUGAGUGACCUUGAGAUGCAGCCAAAUCAGAAAAAAGAGAAAAUCACAAUGUGACUGUAUCAGAUGAAGAUGUCCCAGUCUGCAUUAAUCCUGCUCUAGUUACCUGGAAACUGUCUAUCCAGUUGUAUGUGAAAACCUGGAGCACGUGUCACUGAGCCAAAUUCCAUCAUCUGCCAGUUGGUGUGGAAAAGGGGCCCUUUCUGUCCUUGGGGGCUUGUGUCUCCUGAAGUUCAGCCUUCAGCAGCUACUUGGGAACUUCUGCCACAACUGAGAGCACUGUCUGCUCAGGCAAAMCACUUUGCUUGGCCAGCAAUUUUCUAG